Molecule: unclassified non-coding RNA, 241 nt
Filed under: Hevea brasiliensis (rubber tree)
Lineage: Eukaryota; Viridiplantae; Streptophyta; Magnoliopsida; Malpighiales; Euphorbiaceae
Source: RNAcentral
AUACAGUCAACUCGAGAUUUAUUCAAAACAUUAUAAAGAUGUCUCCCUACUAAUCUCCAAUUUCAACAUGACCUAUGGAGAUAUACUUUUCCUGAACAUUGUCUCAAAUAAGGUGGCAAUCAAUCUCAAUAUGCUUAGUGCAUUCAUGAAACACAGGGUUAGUAGCAAUAUGAAGAGUAGCCUGAUUAUCACACUAUAACUUAACUGGCAAUGAAGACUUAAGACCAACCUCAUUCAAUAA